This is a long non-coding RNA of Sander lucioperca (pikeperch), 313 nucleotides long. RefSeq lists it as uncharacterized. The transcript is spliced from 2 exons. NCBI's taxonomy places the organism in Eukaryota, Metazoa, Chordata, Actinopteri, Perciformes, Percidae. The record is from RefSeq and is a predicted model, not a curated record.
UGUUGUAAUUUGUGCUUGUUGCUGUGUUCCAUGUGUUCUGUGGUUACCUGUCUGUCAUGUGUCUUUGUCUCCGCCCCUUCCCUUAUAUGGUCUGCACUUCCUGUCUUGUUAGUUUCCCUCCAUCUCUACUCUCACCUGUUGCUCGUUACUGUCUUGUCCAAUCCUCUGUCUUUCUGUUCAUUGGUCUGUGUAUUUCUACACCCCUCUGUUCCUUUGUCUCUUGUCAGUUCGUCUCUCUCUGUUUGUCCUGUGAGAAUCCUGUUCGUUUGUAGUUGUGAGUUUGUAAGUUGUUAAGUCAAAAUAAAGUGUGUUU